Molecule: ribosomal RNA, 465 nt
Filed under: uncultured bacterium
Lineage: Bacteria
Description: partial 16S ribosomal RNA
Rfam family: Bacterial small subunit ribosomal RNA
Source: RNAcentral
GACGAACGCUGGCGGCGUGCUUAACACAUGCAAGUCUAACGGAAAGGCCCCUUUGGGGGUACUCGAGUGGCGAACGGGUGAGUAACACGUGAGUAACCUGCCCUUGACUUCGGGAUAACUUCAGGAAACUGGGGCUAAUACCGGAUAGGAAUCCUUGCUGCAUGGUGGGGGUUGGAAAGCUUCGGCGGUUUUGGAUGGACUCGCGGCUUAUCAGCUUGUUGGUGGGGUAGUGGCUUACCAAGGCUUUGACGGGUAGCCGGCCUGUGAGGGCGACCGGCCACAUUGGGACCGAGAUACGGCCCAGACUGCUACGGGAGGCAGCAGGGGGGAAGAUUGCACGAUGGGCGGAAGCCUGAUGAAGCAACGCCGCGUGCGGGAUGACGGCCUUCGGGUUGUAAACCGCUUUCAGCAGGGGCGAAGCUUGUGGUGACGGUACCUGCAGAAGAAGCACCGGCUAACUACGUG